GAUGAACGCUGGCGGCGUGCCUAAUACAUGCAAGUCGAGCGAACAGACGAGGAGCUUGCUCCUCUGACGUUAGCGGCGGACGGGUGAGUAACACGUGGAUAACCUACCUAUAAGACUGGGAUAACUUCGGGAAACCGGAGCUAAUACCGGAUAAUAGAUUGAAUCGCAUGGUUCAAUAUUGAAAGGCGGUUUUGCUGUCACUUAUAGAUGGAUCCGCGCCGCAUUAGCUAGUUGGUAAGGUAACGGCUUACCAAGGCAACGAUGCGUAGCCGACCUGAGAGGGUGAUCGGCCACACUGGAACUGAGACGCGGUCCAGACUCCUACGGGAGGCAGCAGUAGGGAAUCUUCCGCAAUGGGCGAAAGCCUGCCGGAGCAACGCCGCGUGAGUGAUGAAGGUCUUCGGAUCGUAAAACUCUGUUAUUAGGGAAGAACAAAUGUGUAAGUAACUAUGCACGUCUUGACGGUACCUAAUCAGAAAGCCACGGCUAACUACGUG
Molecule: ribosomal RNA, 497 nt
Filed under: uncultured bacterium
Lineage: Bacteria
Description: partial 16S ribosomal RNA
Rfam family: Bacterial small subunit ribosomal RNA
Source: RNAcentral